GUGGGGGCUUUGGCAACAUUUACUAGAACUGUAAUGACACAGAGAUUUGCAUGGCUCCCAAGUAAGGGUGAGCGGGAAAUCUGUGAUUUGUUCCAUAUUUUU
Molecule: small nuclear RNA, 102 nt
Filed under: Nannospalax galili (Upper Galilee mountains blind mole rat)
Lineage: Eukaryota; Metazoa; Chordata; Mammalia; Rodentia; Spalacidae
Source: RNAcentral